GUGAACGCUGGCGGUAGGCCUAACACAUGCAAGUCGAACGGCAGCACAGUAAGAGCUUGCUCUUACGGGUGGCGAGUGGCGGACGGGUGAGGAAUACAUCGGAAUCUACUUUUUCGUGGGGGAUAACGUAGGGAAACUUACGCUAAUACCGCAUACGACCUACGGGUGAAAGCAGGGGAUCUUCGCACCUUGCGCGAUUGAAUGAGCCGAUGUCGGAUUAGCUAGUUGGCGGGGUAAAGGCCCACCAAGGCGACGAUCCGUAGCUGGUCUGAGAGGAUGAUCGGCCACACUGGAACUGAGACACGGUCCAGACUCCUACGGGAGGCAGCAGUGGGGAAUAUUGGACAAUGGGCGCAAGCCUGAUCCAGCCAUACCGCGUGGGUGAAGAAGGCCUUCGGGUUGUAAAGCCCUUUUGUUGGGAAAGAAAAGCAGCAGGUUAAUACCCCGCUGUUCUGACGGUACCCAAAGAAUAAGCACCGGCUAACUUCGUG
This 491-nucleotide ribosomal RNA is filed under the name uncultured bacterium. RNAcentral's name for it is "partial 16S ribosomal RNA". It matches the Rfam family "Bacterial small subunit ribosomal RNA", at positions 29 to 507 of the family's 1533-position model. The record is from RNAcentral.